RNAcentral lists this non-coding RNA (72 nucleotides) under Enterococcus rivorum. RNAcentral's name for it is "Fluoride sequence". It matches the Rfam family "Fluoride riboswitch aptamer (crcB RNA motif)". The record is from Rfam by way of RNAcentral. Lineage: Bacteria; Bacillati; Bacillota; Bacilli; Lactobacillales; Enterococcaceae.
UAAUCUGAGGGCGAUGGUGUUCGCCGAUAACUAUUUAUUGAAUAACAAUAGAUUAAUGACGCCUAUUGAAGG